This 460-nucleotide ribosomal RNA is filed under the name uncultured bacterium. Its description in RNAcentral is "partial 16S ribosomal RNA". It matches the Rfam family "Bacterial small subunit ribosomal RNA", at positions 338 to 795 of the family's 1533-position model. The record is from RNAcentral.
CCUACGGGAGGUAGCAGUGAGGAAUAUUGGUCAAUGGACGAGAGUCUGAACCAGCCAAGUAGCGUGAAGGAUGACUGCCCUAUGGGUUGUAAACUUCUUUUAUAUGGGAAUAAAAUGUUCCACGUGUGGGAUUUUGUAUGUACCAUAUGAAUAAGGAUCGGCUAACUCCGUGCCAGCAGCCGCGGUAAUACGGAGGAUCCGAGCGUUAUCCGGAUUUAUUGGGGUUAAAGGGAGCGUAGGUGGAUUGUUAAGUCAGUGGUGAAAGUUUGCGGCUCAACCGUAAAAUUGCAGUUGAAACUGGCAGUCUUGAGUACAGUAGAGGUGGGCGGAAUUCGUGGUGUAGCGGUGAAAUGCUUAGAUAUCACGAAGAACUCCGAUUGCGAAGGCAGCUCACUGGCCUGCAACUGACACUGAGGCUCGAAAGUGUGGGUAUCGAACAGGAUUAGAUACCCGAGUAGUC